ACUGAAUAGAUACCCGGGUAGUCCCAGCUGUAAACGAUGCAGACUAGGUGUUUGGACGGCCACGUGCCGUUCUAGUGCCGCAGGGAAGCUGUUAAGUCUGCCGCCUGGGGAGUACGAUCGCAAGAUUGAAACUUAAAGGAAUUGGCGGGGGAGCACCACAAGGGGUGAAGCUUGCGGUUUAAUUGGAGUCAACGCCGGAAAUCUCACCGGGAGCGACAGCAGUAUGAAAGCCAGAUUGAAGGUCUUGCUAGACGAGCUGAGAGGAGGUGCAUGGCCGUCGCCAGUUCGUGCCGUGAGGUGUCCUGUUAAGUCAGGCAACGAUCGAGACCCGCGUCCUCUGUUGCAACCAGUUUUGUGCUGGGCACACUGAGGAGACCGCCACUGAUAAAGUGGAGGAAGGAGCGGGCCACGGCAGGUCAGUAUGCCCCGAAUCUCCCGGGCCACACGCGAGCUGCAAUGGCAAGUACAAUGGGUUCCGACCUCGAAAGGGGGAGGCAAUCUCGAAAGCUUGCCGUAGUUGGAAUUGA
RNAcentral lists this ribosomal RNA (527 nucleotides) under uncultured bacterium. Its description in RNAcentral is "bacterial SSU rRNA". It matches the Rfam family "Archaeal small subunit ribosomal RNA", at positions 723 to 1257 of the family's 1478-position model. The record is from RNAcentral.